CCCUUAGAUGUUCUGGGCUGCACGCGCGCUACACUGAAGCUAUCAACACGUUUUCCCUCCCUGAGAAGGGCGGGUAACCUUUUGAAUCAGCUUCGUGGUAGGGAUCGGGGCUUGCAAUUGUUCCCCGUGAACCAGGAAUUCCUAGUAGACGCGAGUCAUAAGCUCGCUUCGAUUAAGUCCCUGCCCUUUGUACACACCGCCCGUCGCUACUACCGAUUGAACGUUUUAGUGAGGCAUUUGGACCGACGCAUCUCAGUUUAACCGCUGGUUUGUGUUGGAAAGACUUCCAAACUUGAGCGUUUAGAGGAAGUAAAAGUCGUAACA
RNAcentral lists this ribosomal RNA (324 nucleotides) under uncultured eukaryote. Its description in RNAcentral is "partial 18S ribosomal RNA". It matches the Rfam family "Eukaryotic small subunit ribosomal RNA", at positions 1470 to 1796 of the family's 1831-position model. The record is from RNAcentral.